RNAcentral lists this unclassified non-coding RNA (223 nucleotides) under Podospora sp. RNAcentral's name for it is "partial internal transcribed spacer region". The stretch from base 1 to 46 matches the Rfam family "Eukaryotic small subunit ribosomal RNA", at positions 1786 to 1831 of the family's 1831-position model. Lineage: Eukaryota; Fungi; Ascomycota; Sordariomycetes; Sordariales; Podosporaceae. The record is from RNAcentral.
AAGUCGUAACAAGGUCUCCGUUGGUGAACCAGCGGAGGGAUCAUUACCGAGUUCUUACAGAACCCAACCCUUGUGUGAUAAGCUCUCACCCAGCUUCUACACGGGAGUCUCGGCCUAAUCGCCGAGGCAGUGUAAAAAAAACAAAACCUCUGUAUCAUUAUCACAAAUUUCUGAAGACUUUUUAAAAGAGUCAAAACUUUCAACAACGGAUCUCUUGGUUCUG